UGAGGAAUAUUGGUCAAUGGGCGGGAGCCUGAACCAGCCAAGCCGCGUGAGGGAAGAAGGCCCUAUGGGUCGUAAACCUCUUUUGUCAGGGAACAAAAAUGCGAGUAUGUAUACUAGUCUGAGUGUACCUGAAGAAAAAGGCAUCGGCUAACUCCGUGCCAGCAGCCGCGGUAAUACGGAGGAUGCGAGCGUUAUCCGGAUUUAUUGGGUUUAAAGGGUGCGUAGGCGGCGAUGCAAGUCAGCGGUAAAAGCCCGGGGCUCAACCCCGGCGAGCCGUUGAAACUGCAGUGCUAGAGAAGGCGAGAGGUACGCGGAAUGCGCAGUGUAGCGGUGAAAUGCUUAGAUAUUGCGCAGAACUCCGAUUGCGAAGGCAACGUACUGGCGCCUGACUGACGCUGAGGCACGAAAGCGUGGGGGAUCGAACAGGAUUAGAUACC
This 437-nucleotide ribosomal RNA is filed under the name uncultured bacterium. Its description in RNAcentral is "bacterial SSU rRNA". It matches the Rfam family "Bacterial small subunit ribosomal RNA", at positions 355 to 786 of the family's 1533-position model. The record is from RNAcentral.